UGUCCUGCCACUGGACUUGGUACACUCUGGAGCAGAGUGAGGCUAACAGAUUUGUGCCAGCCUAACUUAAAUCCAAUUCAUGGGCAAGCCAAGACAUCAUUCACUCGUGAUGUUUUGGAAGACAAAGGACAAACAACAACAACCACCAAAUACCAGUUAUGCAAGUAUUUGAGAAGGAGAUUAAAUUGAGGAGCUUCCUAGAAGUUACAUAUUGACAGAAUCAUCAAUUUUUGGAGCUGGAAAUCAUUUUAGAGAUCACCUAAUCCAAUCCCUUUAUUUUAUAGAUGAGGAAACAGAUUGAGGGAAAUUAACCUCCAUCAUGGUACAGUGUGAAAAUAUACUUUGUUCAGAAUUAGAAGCCCAGGAUUUGAGUCCCAUCUCUAACAUUACUAGUUCUGUGAUCAUGCACAAAUUGUGUUAUCCUUUUGAAACUCAAUUUCCUCAUCUGUGAAAUGAAGAUGCUAAUACUUUAUUGCCCAUCUCACAGUAGUACUGUAAAGAAAGUGCUUUGUAUAGGGUCAAGGACUAUAGAAACAUGAGCAGUUAUGAUUGACUUGUCCAGGGUCACAGAGCUAGCAAAUGGGAGAACCAGGAUAAAAAUGCAGGUCAGGAAGCAUUUCUUUUGUUUAGCAGCUUUCACCAGGUCUCCUCAGUAACAAUGUAUUCUCUCCUGCCCCAUGUGCACACGUCAAAAUUCAUCACUUGAUCCCCACGACCCGAUGAUGAGAUGCUUUUUUGAAAUGAGUUUCCCUGGUCUCUUUCCACUACUGCUUGUUUAGGGAUUGCCAGAAAGUCCACUGCAGCCACCCUGCAACAGAUACAGAGUUUUCUCUGUUUGAAUGCACACAAGAGUUUUCAUCACAAUGGAAUGCUUAUGGAGUUACAUAUUUCAAGGACAUUAACACCAAAACGCAGCUUAAUUGGGAGUCCAGUCAUGGUGAUGAAUGGCAAUGUCAAAGUGAUUAGUAAAAGAAUUUGCAAUUUGUUCCUGCAACCUCGCCCUGAGCAUCUACUUCAGUGAACAGAAAACAUCAUCUCUGCUUUUCCUUCUCAACUAUGUGGAUUUGUAUGACAUCCAUGCUUAAGCCUCUAGGAUGAGUAGAAUUAUGGGACUGAAAAGAGAAAUGGCAGGAGUCCUGAAGAAUCAGAAUCAGAGAAAUGAAAGUAGUUACCAAAUCUAAUCAAAGUAAUCAUAGGCUACUGGAAAUGGAAAGGACUUUAAGGGAUGGGAAACCCAAGGCCUAGAGAGGUCUCAAUUCAAUUUAACAUUUAUUCAGCUCUUACUGUAUUCAGAGCUCUGUGCUAGGAGUGGGAUUGAGUUAAAAUUAAAUGACUCAUUCUUUAUCCUCAUAGUGAUAGGGACUGACCUGUUAUUUCACUGUUAUGGAAAAUUCUUGGGUGAGGAAAUUCCAUCUUCUAAUACAGAUUGACACCUUCUCUGCCAUUUUUAAUCUUAGAGAGUUACCUAGAGGAUAGAGGGGUUUCCUGACAUUCCCCAUGUCGCACACCCUGUAUAUGUCAGCCAUGGGACUUGAACCUAUGUUUCUUCCUAGGGCAAUUCUCUGGCCAUGCUGCCUUACUAUAUGUGUUACCUUCAAAACAGUCUCAUUUUUGUGCA
Long non-coding RNA from Phascolarctos cinereus (koala), 1618 nucleotides. RefSeq lists it as uncharacterized. NCBI's taxonomy places the organism in Eukaryota, Metazoa, Chordata, Mammalia, Diprotodontia, Phascolarctidae. The record is from RefSeq and is a predicted model, not a curated record.